AAACACACACCAUUUGAGCCCCAGAUCAGUAUAAUUAGAUGACAUCAAAAAGGGGUGAAGACACCAUGUAGAGAGCAUAUGGCUCUUUUUUUUUAUAGCAGAGCUUUGAAAUCACUUUCAAAGAAAUAUGAAAUACAAACUUUGUCAUGCUGUUUCAUAUCUCGAGUGCAUGUGGAAAUGAAAAAGAAAAACGGCUUGUGAUCGCUACAGAGUGUGGAGAUAACGACAAAAAAGCCAUUUGUUUGUUACGAGGAUAAUUUGUCUUAAAGGCGGAGGUUGGGACCAAAAUGGAGACAUUUUUUUAUUCUUGAUAUUUUACAGUCAAAUUGCAGUAUCUGUAGCCCCAUUCACACGGCAGUUUGCAUGUGGGGAUCCUGCGCCAAUUCUCCGCCUCCUCCUCUGUGUGAAAGUUUCAGAUGUGGUGAAAUUUCACUUGGGGUGCUGAUCCGCCUCUGGAGGUGUCAGGGCCAUAUUACUGGCGAACUGAACCAGUGUGAACGGAUAAGCGGCGCGGAGCGGGGGGGCGUGUCUCGUCCAGUCUGAUGUAGUAAUUGUAACUGUCUUCGGCAACUUAUAUGAGGGAAAAAAAUACCACAGCUGUUUGUGGAGAAGUGUCCGUCCUCCUGUCUGUCCUACCAACUCCGGGGGACACUGGGUAAACACCUUGAAAACAAACUGACAUCAUCAUCAUGACGUGUACCGUUACGCCUCUUUAGCAGCCACAGCGCCGGCUUUCUGUGUGAAUUACACAGCAGUUCGUCUUUAAUGCGGAGAUGCUUCACUCUGUGUGAAUCACUAUUGGCGGUGAAUUGGCAAACCAACGUUGCAGAGAUAAUGCGGCAUCGCUGUGUCAAUGAUGAUGAUGAUGAUGUCGCAUCUCAGUUACUGGAAAAAGUUCACUGCACCUGCUCAGAAUAUUGUUGAAUCUUUCUUUGAAUCGUUGAAUCAGUGUAGACUUUAUCGCCACAUACUGGCCCGGCAAGCCUGUUCCGGCAUUUGUAAUAGUUUGUGUCCGGGUGUGUUUGGAGAUAAUUUCAAAAACAAAAGUCGUGUGGCGGAGUGGAAAAAUAUCUGUUCUAGUGAAAACUUUGUCCUAACCUGCUCUGAGGGAAAUGUUAUGGGCCUCCAAAGAGAUUACAAAUCCCCCUCAGGAAACACAAACACAAAGUCUGACCGCUUUGGGACUAAAUGUUGGACGCAUCAUCAAGCCUCAGUUCUUUGGCAGGAAAGAAAACACGUGUUGAGAUGUUAUUGAAUAACUCUGUUUUACUACCCAGGAUGCACAGCUUCAGUUUCACUUAAAACAUCAUCUUUGCAGCAAUAUGGUCUCUGUACAUUCUGAACCUCGGUGUUAAGUCUCGUCGUGCUGUAUGCACAUGUCAGGUGAGUGAAAAACUGAGCUACUUCCAUGACUCCUCCUGGCUCCUGCUCAUUCAGGAACAACGAGAGCAGCUGGAUGAAACCUGAACUAGAUGCAGGAAUAAAGUCUCCCAGAUGCAGGAGUGAUAAUGGAAGAUCUGCUUUAGACUUUUUACUGUAAAACUGGAGACAAAACAAAUGAUGUCUUUCUGUCACAGAAAGAAAAAUAAGAGAUUGUCAAGGAGACUGGUGCUCCGAUCUGACCCGGAGUCAUUCACCUCCAUCCAUUUAUCAGCGGGGGCAGGUUAACAUAUAGUCUAGAAUAUCUGAUCCUAUUUUAGUGGAAGGAUCCGGUGUGUCACGUCUUUAACAGAGAGUUCAGUCAGAAGUGAAGUUUGUUCAUUAAAUGUGUGUUUGGAGGCCUGAGUCCAGGGCGCAGCGCGGUGUACUGACUCCAGCACCGAGGCGCGUACUUUGGGAAGAUGCCAACGCCACAAGAAAUGUUUGAGGACCAUCAACGCUCUGCUGGCCCGGUCUUCAUAUUUUAGCAGUUACACCUACAAGUACUGGCCACGACAAAACACCAGCAUUUCCUGCUGGAUGACAGCUGGAUCGGACUAAGGAGGGGGGAGAGCGAGGAAGAGGACUAACAGAAAUCUCCAAAAACAUUCUCUGAGCGCACAUCAGCGUGGAAAAUCAACACAGAUGUCAACCUUUUUUUUUUUCUUUUUUUUUUUUUAACUCCCAGACCCAAUGUCCGCUUGGUUUGUUUUUGUUUUUUGCUUCCCCCCCCCCAUCACUCCCUUGCACAAAUAUUGUUCCAAUCCCAGCUUUUGAUAAAGAGCCCGACUCUGGCGCAACAAGUCCCCUCAGUCCAGCCGCGUCCCUGUUCUCAGCCGAGCGUCUCCUGUCGACAUAACGGUGCGCACGGCGGGUCCAGUCAUCUGCUAACGCCAUCAGAGGCUUUUAUCUGAACCCGGCUGCUUUCUCCAGACCACGUCUACGUGGCAGUGAGAGCAGUAGAUAGGUAGGUGUAGCUUACUCCCUGACUGGUUCCCUGGAUGUCCAGCUCAAAGUCUUGAUUCGGGGGUGCCUGAAAUUCCUUCCAACGGACAACUCCUAGAGACUGUGCCUGCCCGGCUGCCUGCGCAACUCUGGUGUCAAAGUCGCAGAAGUGUAAUAAUGCAAGACUCCAAAUCCAGUAGACAGCCAGGUAACCCUUUCAUGUUUGUGUGUCCGUGCGGAAAACAAAAGAGCAAUAUCCCCCUCCUUCACCAGCGUGCCCCUGUGUCUCAAGUUGUUCUAUCAGUUUUGUAUCCAGAUGAAGUCGCCUUGAUGCUCUCUGCUGCGUCUCCGUGCCUCUCUGCGCUGGCGCGGCUGCUCCACCAAGCUCUCUCUCUCUCUCACUCUCUCUCUCUCUCUCUCUCUCUCUCUCUCUCUCUCUCUCUCUCUCCCUGACCGACCGACUGCCACACACUCUCUGCAGGAGAGGGAUCUUUGUCUGCACAUGACGUCACUCACACACAUGCACACGCAGACACACUCACGCAUACACACUGAAAAAAAAAACAACUAAUAGAAAUGCUUAAUGUGUGCCAUUAAAACGUUGCUGGAGACCA
This is a long non-coding RNA of Acanthopagrus latus (yellowfin seabream), 2978 nucleotides long. RefSeq lists it as uncharacterized. The record is from RefSeq and is a predicted model, not a curated record. Lineage: Eukaryota; Metazoa; Chordata; Actinopteri; Spariformes; Sparidae. The transcript has 2 exons.